Molecule: long non-coding RNA, 1241 nt
Organism: Tyto alba (common barn owl)
Lineage: Eukaryota; Metazoa; Chordata; Aves; Strigiformes; Tytonidae
Exons: 2
Source: RefSeq, a predicted model, not a curated record
AGGACCACGUCACUGUGCACCGCGUGCUGAGGGGCUGCUAAUUUGAUAAGGCUUUGCCGGAUGGUUCGGACGCUCAGAGGCGGGUCGGUAUGGAAACAACGUAAAUAUUUUCAAUCCUACAUCAGCAGCAACGCGUUGCCGGAGCUCGUCGUCACCGAUCCCCGCAGCCGUUUCAACGUGCUGGGGUGAGGAAAGUCUGAAAAGGGGGGGAAAGCUCAGGAAAACCAUCCCGGGAGCAAUCGGUGGGUAGCGGGAGCACCCCACGGGCUGGAGCAAACUGGCAGCGGGGAGGAGAAGGUCCCCAAAAAACCCAUUAUGACGUCUAAGGAAAAAUGACACCUGAUUUCCCCGGAGCGGCUCCCAGCCCCAGUUGCCCCCCAAGACGCUGCCCCACGCUCCCACCAAGUUGGGGGCAGGGCCCAAGCGUCCCCCCCCGGCCGCGGGCAGCAGCGGUGCUCGCCAGCGAGGCUCUGCGGGCUUGGAGUUUCCCCUUUCUACCCCAAUUCCACUAUGGAUGGAGCAAACCCUCCGCCGCCUCCCAGCAGCAAGACUCUGGCUGCUGCAGGAAAGCCUGGUUAUCACGGGAAAGAAGGGAGCGCAAGCCGGAAGAUUUAGCAGCUUUUGCAAAAGAGAUAAGCUCAGCUUUACUUCACCAUCAGCCCCAGUCCCGUCCUCCCCAGGCCACCUUACCUUUCCGGAGCCAUCUCCCGGGGAGGAGAGCUACAGCCAGGACCCAGCCGGUAGCUCCCAUCCCGCCACGCCGCCGUCCCCUCCUCCAAGCUCAGCCCUCUCAAAUUUGAGCUCGCCCCGGCGCUGCCAAGGGCCUCAGAUUAGGAGACGAGUGGAACCAGCUGCUUGGAUCACCCCCCUCCUCUCACCUCCCAGCUGGUCUGACGUCCUCCAGAUCGCGAGCCCUCGCGCCGCGGUUUCGGCAGCUCCAGGGGAAGGUGCGGCGUGGCGGCCGGGAGCCCGCGGCGUUACUGCCGCCUCCCCCCGGGAUGAGUCUCUGCUCCAGCCUCUUCCCCCACCUUGGAGACACAACUACGUCGUCCGGAAGAGUUGGGGGGCCGGGAGUGACCCCCCAGCCAGUCCCACCCCCCCCUGGUUUGGGCCAGCUGCAAACACCAGCCACUUAAUUCUGCUUUUUUUCCCCAUACCACUGCUAAAGAUACCCAAGAGCCAGGCAUGGCUGCCUGGAAAACACAAAAAACACCCUGAUUAAAUGAGGAUUACGUGCUGAC